Molecule: ribosomal RNA, 565 nt
Filed under: uncultured Glomus
Lineage: Eukaryota; Fungi; Glomeromycota; Glomeromycetes; Glomerales; Glomeraceae
Description: SSU rRNA
Rfam family: Eukaryotic small subunit ribosomal RNA
Source: RNAcentral
AAUUGGAGGGCAAGUCUGGUGCCAGCAGCCGCGGUAAUUCCAGCUCCAAUAGCGUAUAUUAAAGUUGUUGCAGUUAAAAAGCUCGUAGUUGAAUUUCGGGAUUGACACAUCGGUCGUGCCUUAAGGGGUAUGAACUGGUGUAGUCAAUUUCUCACCUUCUGGAGAACCGCGAUGCCCUUAAUUGGGUGUCACGGGGAACCAGGACCUUUACUUUGAAAAAAUUAGAGUGUUUAAAGCAGGCAUUUUGCUUGAAUACAUUAGCAUGGAAUAAUAAAAUAGGACGGCAUGAUUCUAUUUUGUUGGUUUCUAGGAUCACCGUAAUGAUUAAUAGGGAUAGUUGGGGGCAUUAGUAUUCAAUUGUCAGAGGUGAAAUUCUUGGAUUUAUUGAAGACUGACUACUGCGAAAGCAUUUGCCAAGGAUGUUUUCAUUAAUCAAGAACGAAAGUUAGGGGAUCGAAGACGAUCAGAUACCGUCGUAGUCUUAACCAUAAACUAUGCCGACUAGGAAUCAGACGAUGUUAAUUUUUUAAUGACUCGUUUGGCACCUUACGGGAAACCAAAGUGU